GCCACCUUAGCUCAGUUGGUAGAGCAGUGCAUUCGUAACGCACAGGUCGUCGGUUCAAGUCCGACAGGUGGCU
This 73-nucleotide transfer RNA is filed under the name Candidatus Kaiserbacteria bacterium. Its description in RNAcentral is "tRNA-Thr". It matches the Rfam family "tRNA". From Rfam's summary of the family: Transfer RNA (tRNA) molecules are approximately 80 nucleotides in length. Their secondary structure includes four short double-helical elements and three loops (D, anti-codon, and T loops). Further hydrogen bonds mediate the characteristic L-shaped molecular structure. tRNAs have two regions of fundamental functional importance: the anti-codon, which is responsible for specific mRNA codon recognition, and the 3' end, to which the tRNAs corresponding amino acid is attached (by aminoacyl-tRNA synthetases). tRNAs cope with the degeneracy of the genetic code in two manners: having more than one tRNA (with a specific anti-codon) for a particular amino acid; and 'wobble' base-pairing, i.e. permitting non-standard base-pairing at the 3rd anti-codon position. The record is from RNAcentral. Lineage: Bacteria; Candidatus Kaiseribacteriota.